GUCCUUUUGAUUAUAAUUUAAGGUCUGACCUGCCCACUGAAAUUAUUUUAAAUGGCCGCAGUAAUUUGACUGUGCAAAGGUAGCAUAAUCAUUAGUUUUUUAAUUAAAAGCUUGUAUGAAGGGUUGGACGAGAUAAAAUCUGUCUCUAUUUAAUUUAUUAUAAAAUUUAAUUUUUAAGUUAAAAAGCUUAAAUUUUUUUAAAAGACGAGAAGACCCUAUAGAUCUUUAUAGUUUUGAUUUUGAGUUUAAUUAAUAAAUUUUUAUGAUUUAUAAUUUAAACUAUUUUAUUGGGGUAAUAGAAAGAUUAAAAUAAUUCUUUUUUUCUUUAAACAUUUAUUUAUGUUUUUAAUGAUCCAAUUUUAUUGAUUAUAAGAUUAAGUUACCUUAGGGAUAACAGCGUAAUUUUUUUAGAGAGUUCUUAUCGAUAAAAAAGUUUGCGACCUCGAUGUUGGAUUAAAGAUUAAUUUAGGUGUAGAAGUUUAAAUUUUUGGUCUGUUCGACCAUUAAAUCUUUACAUGAUCUGAGUUCAGACCGGCGUAAGCCAGGUCGGUUUCUAUCUUUAAUAAUUUUAAAAUAUUUUAGUACGAAAGGACCAAAUAUUUAAUAUAUUUAUAUUUAAUUUUUUGAAUAUUAUUAAAAAUUAUUUUGGCAGAAUAGUGCAAUGAAUUUAGAAUUCAUAAAUGUAAUUUUAUUACAAAUAAUACUUGUUUUUUUUAGAUGUAAUUUUUUCUUUAGUAUGUAUAUUUUUAUUAAUUAUUUGUGUUUUAGUUGGAGUUGCUUUUUUAACAUUAUUA
RNAcentral lists this ribosomal RNA (794 nucleotides) under Lissopterus quadrinotatus. RNAcentral's name for it is "partial 16S ribosomal RNA". The stretch from base 1 to 585 matches the Rfam family "Bacterial large subunit ribosomal RNA", at positions 1825 to 2925 of the family's 2925-position model. Lineage: Eukaryota; Metazoa; Arthropoda; Insecta; Coleoptera; Carabidae. The record is from RNAcentral.